Molecule: long non-coding RNA, 357 nt
Filed under: Olea europaea (common olive)
Lineage: Eukaryota; Viridiplantae; Streptophyta; Magnoliopsida; Lamiales; Oleaceae
Description: long non-coding RNA (OEUR_LNC012629)
Source: RNAcentral
CCUGCUAUAGGUUUAACACAGAUUUCAAAGAUGAAUAAUUGUCAUAGGUGUAACCACAAGAGAUUAAAAAAUACAUACUGAUAAGGACGCUGAUAGCGAUUUUUAGUUACUUCCACAUAUAGGAAAGAACCUAGGCACUAUAAGUCAGGAGAAGUUUAGAGCAUGGUUUCUGGACAUAACCAAGAAAAUGAUGCUCUUUAAAAUAUGAUGUUCACUAUUAUGGUGCAAACGUCAUUUAGGGAACCACUAGGUAUUCUGUGAUUGCUAUAUUCUGGGACUCAAAAUGUCACAGUCAUCUUUGCCUCUUGCACGUCUCAGAUACUUAUCUUGAAAGUAAGAUUCUCCUUUUAAGAGAUA